This 510-nucleotide long non-coding RNA is filed under the name Mustela putorius furo (domestic ferret). RNAcentral describes it as "lncRNA (ENSMPUG00000026751.1)". Lineage: Eukaryota; Metazoa; Chordata; Mammalia; Carnivora; Mustelidae. The record is from RNAcentral.
GCUGCCUUCAUGUGUGAUAUUAUCUGAUUUUACCACAGACUGCCUUCAGACUAGAACUGCAACAUGGGCUCUUUCUGGGUCUUCAGUCUGCCAGCCCACCCUGCAAAUUUGAUUUGCUAGUUUUCAUACUCAGAAAGGCUAAAACUGAAAAGACUGCCUAUACCACAUGUUGGUGAGAAUGUACAGAACCUGGAUGGAUCUCUCACAUGUUGCUGGUGGGGAUGUACAACCGCACAACUGCUUUGAAAAACAUGGUACAAAUAAAGUGAUCAAACCCUUGUGCCUUUGGAAAAUUCAGUUCUUUUGGGAACUGAAAUCUCAUCAAAUCUUCAUUUAGAAGUGAGAAGUGGAGAGGAGAAGGAGAAAAGGCAUGCUACGUGCGUCCACCUCUCACUCAAAACUCUCUCAAGCAAGGAUUGCUCAUUAAAGAUAGCACAAGCAUCGAUACAUAAGAAGAAAAAAGAAUUCCUAAAAACCUGCUUUGAAAUUGUUAAAUAAUACUAGGACAGA